RNAcentral lists this ribosomal RNA (468 nucleotides) under uncultured bacterium. Its description in RNAcentral is "partial 16S ribosomal RNA". It matches the Rfam family "Bacterial small subunit ribosomal RNA", at positions 28 to 507 of the family's 1533-position model. The record is from RNAcentral.
GAUGAACGCUGGCGGCGUGCUUAGCACAUGCAAGUCGAACGGAAAGGCCCAAGCUUGCUUGGGUACUCGAGUGGCGAACGGGUGAGUAACACGUGGGUGAUCUGCCCUGCACUUCGGGAUAAGCCUGGGAAACUGGGUCUAAUACCGGAUAGGACGAUGGUUUGGAUGCCAUUGUGGAAAGUUUUUUCGGUGUGGGAUGAGCUCGCGGCCUAUCAGCUUGUUGGUGGGGUAAUGGCCUACCAGGGCGUCGACGGGUAGCCGGCCUGAGAGGGUGGACGGCCGCAUUGGGACUGAGAUACGGCCCAGACUCGUACGGGGGGCAGCAGUGGGGAAUAUUGCACAAUGGGCGCAAGCCUGAUGCAGCGACGCCGCGUGGGGGAUGACGGCCUUCGGGUUGUAAACUCCCUUCGCUAGGGACGAAGCGUUUUUGUGACGGUACCUGGAGAAGAAGCACCGGCUAACUACGUG